AAAAUCAGCCUUGCUGAUCAUAGCUGGCUGUUGAAUCGAACUUGCUAAGAAUCAUUGUUAUCUCCAGAGCAAGAAUGCAUCCUUCCUGCAAUGCUACAACAACACAGAGUUGUACAGUAUGAACAUUGUGAAGAAAGAUUGAAUGAAAGGAAGGGCUGUUUGGGACCAACAUAGUGGUCCCAAACCACUAUGGUGGUUUUCACCGCAUAGUGGUGAACCACUAUGUUCACCACAUAGGUCAACAUAGUUCCUCUGACUCUACUACAUUUGGUGACUUUCAGACCAUGGAGUCUAGAGAUAAUUAUGCUUUUGUUCAUCAAAUUCAUCUUUAAAGGGAGGGGCAAUGCACUUUUCAGGCAUUACUGUUAGGUGGUAAAAAGGCACCCUACUUGUAAGGUGUACAGUAAGUCACUGUGGGCUCCUAUACAAACAUGACAGUUAUCUGCUACCUGCUGAUAUUUCUUUGUAACUGUAGCUCUCACCCUGCUCCUUAGGCAAAGAUAUAUUGCUGUCUCUGCUUACCUGUUUGCAAAGCCCUGGGAAACAAAAAGCUUCCUCUUCACAAUGUGCUAAUGGCUCACUAACUCUCAAAUCACUGCAGUUCCUUAACAAAGAAUAGCACAAUCCAGCAAUAAAGGAAAGUAAGUUUAUAGACAAAGUGUAAUUAGAACUGGCAAAGCUGCUCUUUGCUAUUCAGCAGCAUACUUGACUCUGUUUUCUCGUUGUUUACUUGUAGUCUUUAUUUGUCUGGAAGAAUAAAUCUGAAAGGGAAGAGGCACAGCAUUUUAUUCAGAAAAAAAUGACCCCAUGUUGACAUGUAGAAAUAAAAAGAACAGAAAUUGUUGAACACUGGAGAUCUGGACUGGGGUAAGAUAAUGCAACCCCUUGGCUUUAUCAUUAUUUUACUGAUCGAUACUCACAAGAUAGACUCCCAGGUAUACCCAAGCUUUGUGUUGAUGCCCCCCCCACAACUUUUUUUUUUUUUUUUUUUUUUUUUUUGCCAGGCUUGGUGAUAGCUUGUCCUCCAGGGUGUGAGACACUGGUGUCCAUGUGUCCCCAGCAGCUGUGUCUUGCAGAUGAGCAGAGACUACUAGGUGGGAGUGUGCUGUUGCCUUCCAGCCAUGGAGCCACCCCCUGGACAGCUGACCCGAGUUUAGUCAAAAGCCCAAGGGACAAGCUUUCAACUGGCAUAGUGUUAUAAAAGAUA
This 1207-nucleotide long non-coding RNA is filed under the name Anas platyrhynchos platyrhynchos (common mallard). RNAcentral describes it as "lncRNA (ENSAPLG00000028725.1)". Lineage: Eukaryota; Metazoa; Chordata; Aves; Anseriformes; Anatidae. The record is from RNAcentral.